RNAcentral lists this ribosomal RNA (254 nucleotides) under uncultured bacterium. Its description in RNAcentral is "partial 16S ribosomal RNA". It matches the Rfam family "Bacterial small subunit ribosomal RNA", at positions 524 to 776 of the family's 1533-position model. The record is from RNAcentral.
UACGGGGGGAGUAAGCGUUGUUCGGAUUUACUGGGCGUAAAGGGCGCGUAGGCGGCCACCGCAAGUCGGUUGUGAAAUCUCUGGGCUUAACCCAGAAAGGUCAACCGAUACUGCGGGGCUAGAGUGCAGAAGGGGCAACUGGAAUUCUCGGUGUAGCGGUGAAAUGCGUAGAUAUCGAGAGGAACACCUGCGGCGAAGGCGGGUUGCUGGGCUGACACUGACGCUGAAGCGCGAAAGCUAGGGGAGCGAACGGG